GAGCGCCGAACUCCGCCCCCAACAAUGCGCAAGCCGGGUGAUUGACGCGGGCGGAGCGGCCUGGCGAGGGCGAUGCCAACGGUUCACCGGCACCGGUCCUGUCCCGUCGCCUCCGCGCCGUGGCCGAGUGGAGACCGCUGCCUCCAACCCUUCCCCAAGUAAAGCCUAGGACCCUCCCCCAACUCGUGUGGAUGACCGAAAAUAAAGCUUCGGGUCCUGGUUACAGUGUACCGAACUCGGACUGCGCCACGGCUUUUUACUCCAUGUUUCCCGUGCUCUACACUGGGAAGGAAAGCAGCCGAAGUUUCGUAAUGUCUUAGAGAGGAAAAACGCCCUUUAGCCACUGCUUUCGCACCACCGUCCUAUCUCCCCACAAUCCGGGCCCUACCCAUCAUGGAAGCUUCUGGAAGGGCACAGGAGUGCUGUACCCUAAGAAAACGUCCAUUAAUUUAGAGUUUUUGCCUCCGUGCCAUCCACUAUCAUCUCCCCUGGCGCCCUAUGACCUUCACUACAGACCGCGACCGCCAACAGACUGCAUACCUGUUAUAAUCCGCGGAGCCACCAGACAUGAUCCGAAAAACCACUCAGCGCCCGACUGAAAAGACAGCGGCGCCCAACCACCCGUUUUUUAUAGGCUCGUGGCCGGAACCCGUUUCUUGCGGAGGAAUUUUCUCGCCGUGCUUCGGUCAGCUACAAAAUUGUGAUCCUGGGGUCGUUACCUCGGAUAAAAUCCUAAGCAAGUUGGUAGAAAAACCCAAAUGUGGUAAUUUCUCGAUAUUACAGGGUCGCUGGAAAUCCUAGGGCCCGGGGUUGGGUUGGGACUCUUUACCUCGCGGCGGAAGAAUAUAGCUGCGGAGUUAGUUAAACCUCGCUUUCCCCGCCCGCCCUGCUCCUACGGGGUUUCCGCGUCCCUGACGCAGAGGCGGGCCGGGGGAGCCGCGCCGGAGCCGGAGGCGGAAACCGGAGAUGCUGUUCGUCGGGCGGCCGGGGCUUCCCGCGGGUGACAGGUCCCGGCUCGCGGCUCGCUGCCGGCACUCAGGUGCGGGAGGGGAACUCGGUUAUUCCGCUUGCUCCCACCGCUGUUUAAUUCCACAAUGAAGACCUGCCUGGCAUUUAGCCCGACCGUUAACAUCCAUUCAGAUCUUGGAAACGUAAAAUUCCUGCUAGGGAAAAUGUCGGCCACCCAGCGAGUCCCGGGAAGUCCGGUUUACCGGUACAUUUUGCAGCGCGAGAAGGAAAAAUGGAGUGUCAUUUGCAGAUGUCUCUGGAGUGGCCAAUUCUAUUCUCAUAUCAUUUCCGGUCUCUCGCUUUCUUUUUAAGAGUGUUACUGAUUUUAACCUAACAGGUGUGAGGAAUGCCUGAAAAAAAUCAUAAACUUUUGCAAAUGGAUAGAAACUAAGCAGUAAUUUUCCUUGGAACGCACGAAUUUAAAUGGACGCUUUGGCAGAUACAGCUCUGUGCCGCUUUGGGACUACAUCGGUUUUGAUUCCGUCUAUAUUGGUCAUUUUUUAAAGGCUGUAGACUUUGCCGAUAUAUAGUGAAAUGUUGAUUUAUUGAAAUUCAGAGCAAUAAUAUCCUUGCUGCGUAAACUGCACGGGUCUUUAAGCUCCAGACGUUUUCAAUUAGCCCCAUCUCAGGUCUCUCGACAAAAACAAAAAACAAUAUAUGUAGUCAUUUAACUUUAAAAUACAACCCUACCCAUGGUGCAAAAUAUCAUCGAGACUAUCAGGGUAACAUUUUCUCAUAUUUCAGAAGGCCAACUUAAAGAAUCAUUACUGGGAAAGCUGACUCAAUUUUCUAUAUUAUAGAAGAUAUUCGGUUCUAAAUACUACUUUUUUAAUACAAAAAUUAUUUAUUUAUUUGAAAAUUCUUAUCGUGCCAGGAACUAGGACAAAGAUUAAGAAUACCAAGAUGGCAAAGUGGGCCAGGCCCUCAGUCCAGUGGUACUGCUCCUCAUUCAUCCCUCUGUAAUGUUCGAAAUCCAGAUUUGAGGUGAUGCCAGAUAUUUUCUGAGAAUGAUGGUCGUCAGACAUCCUUGUUGUCUCAUCCAAAAUCUACUAAAAAUAUCCUGAGAUCUAAGAAAUUGAAAAAAUACUAAAUCGAAAAAGUGACCAACCGUUUGGUUUCACUUGAGCCUUAGGGUGAAAACAAUUGAUCAUAGGGUGAUACCAAUCAACAAUUAACACUUAAUCGUUGGUUGUUUUCUUUAGGAUUAGCACUACACUAGAUGGUGUAGGAUUUUCAAGUCUCUUAAGAGGAAAUAAAGGCUAAACUCUAUGGUAUAGGUUUACAAGUGCUAAGUAAGUUUCAAGGUAAGAAAACUUCAAAUACAGUCAAAAUCCACACCCACACUGCCUGUAACCUUACAGUGUAUUCCUAAUAAAUGCAGUGAUUACCACA
Molecule: long non-coding RNA, 2400 nt
Organism: Homo sapiens (human)
Lineage: Eukaryota; Metazoa; Chordata; Mammalia; Primates; Hominidae
Source: Ensembl